UGUGGUCAAGCUCUGUGGUAGAGUGCUUGCCUUGCAUGCAUGAGGCCCUGGGUUCCAUUCCUCAGCACCACAG
Molecule: non-coding RNA, 73 nt
Organism: Dipodomys ordii (Ord's kangaroo rat)
Lineage: Eukaryota; Metazoa; Chordata; Mammalia; Rodentia; Heteromyidae
Source: Rfam